ACAACAAUGAUGAAAAGGACAGUAACAAAAAAACUGGGCUUUAGAGACAUAAUCCUAGGCUGAAAGAUUAUGACGAAGGUUUUUUGUGAAGAUCACCUUGGAGUUGGGCGGCUGAAGGAAUCUAAGUUGCUCCGUAGGCAUGCGUUACAUGUUUUAAGCGAUUAAUGGGUAGGUAACUAUUUCUAUUAAUAAAAAGGGUGGUACCGCGGAUAAUCCGUCCCUAAG
This 225-nucleotide non-coding RNA is filed under the name Desulfosporosinus meridiei. RNAcentral's name for it is "T-box sequence". It matches the Rfam family "T-box leader". From Rfam's summary of the family: Uncharged tRNA acts as the effector for transcription antitermination of genes in the T-box leader family. T-boxes are found upstream of many aminoacyl-tRNA synthetase genes and some amino acid biosynthetic genes usually in Gram-positive bacteria. Lineage: Bacteria; Bacillati; Bacillota; Clostridia; Eubacteriales; Desulfitobacteriaceae. The record is from RNAcentral.